GGUAGUAUAAGGUCCAACAUGCACUUCACUUAUAACUGCCCCCCAAAUGUAUAACUUCACACCAGUCUAUCAAUUAAUAACUGUCACUGGACUUUAACCAUGGACUAUUUGUCUCAAUAGCAUUUUCACUGUUCCUAAAACAACAUAUGACUUGGCAAAUGUCCGUUUGCCCAGUUGCACAAAAAUCAAAUGCAUUAAAUAAUUGUAAUUGGAGCCACUGCUUCUGAAAUUCACAUUGUACAGCUCCGGUGAUUAAACUUCACAACAACACAACUCUGGAAAACCUCUAAAUAAAACCUGCAAUCACACCU
This 311-nucleotide unclassified non-coding RNA is filed under the name Hevea brasiliensis (rubber tree). Lineage: Eukaryota; Viridiplantae; Streptophyta; Magnoliopsida; Malpighiales; Euphorbiaceae. The record is from RNAcentral.